RNAcentral lists this ribosomal RNA (526 nucleotides) under Melanelixia aff. fuliginosa Crespo 6030h (MAF). RNAcentral's name for it is "eukaryotic LSU rRNA". It matches the Rfam family "Eukaryotic large subunit ribosomal RNA", at positions 112 to 650 of the family's 3401-position model. The record is from RNAcentral. RNAcentral also lists the same sequence under 2 other names. Lineage: Eukaryota; Fungi; Ascomycota; Lecanoromycetes; Lecanorales; Parmeliaceae.
AAUUUGAAAUCUGGCCCCUUCGGGGUCCGAGUUGUAAUUUGUAGAGAGUGCUUCCGGGGAGACCGCGGUCUAAGUCCAUUGGAACAUGGCGUCCUAGAGGGUGAGAAUCCCGUAUGUGACCGUGGCUCGAACCCGUGUGAAGCCUCUUCGACGAGUCGAGUUGUUUGGGAAUGCAGCUCAAAAUGGGUGGUAAAUUUCAUCUAAAGCUAAAUACUGGCUGGAGACCGAUAGCGCACAAGUAGAGUGAUCGAAAGAUGAAAAGCACUUUGGAAAGAGAGUUAAAAAGUACGUGAAAUUGUUGAAAGGGAAGCGCUUGCAACCAGACCUGCCCGUAGGCGAUCAGCCGCUGUUCUCAGCGGUGCACUCGCCCUGCGAUCAGGCCAGCAUCGGUUCCGGCGGUCGGAUAAAGGCCUUGGGAAUGUAGCUUCCCCUCGGGGGAGUCUUAUAGCCCUCGGUGCAAUGCGGCCAGCCGGGACCGAGGACCGCGCUUCGGCUAGGAUGCUGGCGUAAUGGUUGUAAGCGACCC